AGCUUGUAUCCGUAGAUGAACCUGUGGAUGAAUCAUUACCAAAGGGGUUAUAUCCGCCUGUAAUGUGACCUGUUUCGGUGAAUGUUUGCCGGCUGCCUUGCUUGCCGCCUACAUGAAAUGUAACUUAAGUCUUGUUUAUAACAUGAAUCAAUGGAUCUGGUGGCUCUU
This 168-nucleotide unclassified non-coding RNA is filed under the name fungal sp. RNAcentral describes it as "partial internal transcribed spacer region". Lineage: Eukaryota; Fungi. The record is from RNAcentral.